CAUAACUUAUGAAAUCACCUAUUAAAGUCAGCCAUUAAAUGCUAUGGGCCUGAAAAAUGCGUAAUUUUCUUUCAGGUAUAACUUUUUUUAUUAUAUAUGUAACCGGCAGAGUAGUCGCUGUCUGGGUGAAGUUUGUCCCUCUGCAGCUACGGUAGCCCUCCGAUGUCAUGGUGCCCAGCUGGCUGCUGAGUGAUUAACAAUUCAAUUAGCAGUCAGGCUGGGUGCUAUAUAACUGACCUCACUGUUGGGCUAAGAGAGAUUUCCUGGUCUACAGUUUAACGGUUUUGUUGCUGUUUGGAUGUGUUGUGCCUUUGUGUAACCAAAGUAUUUGUAGAGGACUAUACAAUGUAGCAGUAUUGUUUGUUUAAUACUGGGUCAUUGGAAAAUAGGUGUUGGACUGAUUGCCAGACGCUUCCGGGUAGUCGUGCAGUGUACUACUAAAGGUCUUGGGCAGAGCACCUGCCGGGUCGCUGUAUCACAAUUAAGCCACAGUAUCUAAAAGGAUAUUGAAGACUGGUGCAAGGGCUCGUUUUCCUCUGGUCAUCUUGUCACAUGGAGGUAGAUUGCUCCUGCUGCUUUGCCUUGCUUAAAUUAAGUGUAUUGAUAGCUGUGCCUCUUAUAUUUUUCUCUUUCUUCGUUAUUUUGCUGUGGCCUUUUGUCUAGUGCCCCUGUUGGACCGUUGUGGUAUUGGCUGUUCCAAUCUUAUACAUAGUCUUAAGAUUCUGUUUGGAUGUAUAUCUUAUCUAUCUUGCUAGUGAUUAUGACCUCUUUGCCUUCCAUCUUUUUCUAGAGUAUUUAAGCAGCUGCUUAUAGGAGAGGUUCCUGGAUUUUCAUGCACUGCACUGUGUAUUGUAGUGGUAAAGUGCACCUCACAAUAUUGAUUGAAUCCCUUGCUUGCAGUGGUUGUGCGUGUGCGCGUUGUGAAUGCGUUUUACUGUAGGCACCAGAGUUUAGAGCACGGUUGGUGAACUUCACAUUUAUCCCGGACAAGUAACCUUUUCUGACAGCGAAUUAAUAUGACCCCUGUUACACUGCUAAUUAUAGUGUCCCCUGUAGCAGCCAAUACCAGUCCUGGCCAUCCUCCGUAAACAGUCUUUUGGUUGCAACUACUGUGCCUCUACCAUGACUGUGGCUCUUUUAAUUGUACCACUUACUAAUAAAGUGUCUCUAACUACUGAAAGCAUGUUGGUUUAGUUAAUCUCUGGUGUAUUUCUAUGAACCUGCUUGCCUUAGGUUAGGUAUUCAGCAGUUAUUACGCAAAGUAUAUCUUGGUGUGAGAAGCACCAGGUGGCGUAGUAAAGAACGUUAAGCCUAGAUUUGGUAAAAGUUCUCUUAAGGUCACCUAGAUUUUUUUUUUUUUUCAUUUAACACUUGUAAGAAUGAAAAUACCUGCAUGUUCAUUAAGUAAAUAAGUGAUCAUGAGUGUAGCAGACUAAUUUAUACUUAUGUAAAUAUAUUUUAAAGUAUCAUUCAUUUCAUGAAUAAAGGACUCUUGUCAAGGUUAGUCCAUUUGACCGAAUUAAUAUGUGACUAUUUAUAAAAUAUGAGAUUUUGCAUAUUUGCGUCAAAGUAUAGUAUGCAAAUAGGUUUAAACGUAUAUAUCUAUUUUUACCUUCACUGCAGUACUCCGUGUAGGCUACUUAUACUAAAAUUGCUUGCAUAAAGGAAAGUCCACCCAAAAUCGGAAAUUGUGCCACAACACUGAUGUACAAAAAUUAUAGCGAUGUAAGAAUGAAAUGAGUAAACAAAAAUAAGAAUAAAAUAUAAAGGUAUAUUGCAGAAUUAAAUAUAGAAUGCAAAAUAAUGCGGAACACGGUUAUUUUGCAAAAUGUUGGUAGGUAACCAAACAGUUAAAUGCAUAAUUUUCAUUCAGGUAUACCCUUUUUGUUAUAUAGAUGUAAUAUUUUCUUAUUUGCAUUUAUUGAUACACGCCCUGUUGGGUCAACUUAAUGGCUGCACUUUCGUCUGCACUAUGUCCCACCAUUUUAAGACAAAUGGAUUUGUGUUAUCAUAUUCAAUAGAUUAUAAGCUAGAUGCAGCCUUUUUGGGGUUUGCAACAAAUGUUCUUUGAAUUUUAUGCAUGAUAAAUUUGUUUAUGAAUAAAGAUUGAUCUGUUGAAAGCAGUUAUUUUGAGUUUGAUGCCAAAUGCUCUCCUCCUAUUCAAAUAUGACAUUGAAGGGAUGAAUACAAAUUUGCCCACUAGCAACUAUAAUUCAGACAGGAACCACUUUGGCAAGUUUACUUGAGUUUAUUGAACACAAUUUAUCUUUGGCGGCAUGGUUCCUUAUGGGGGUUCUUGCUCCCAGAAUAAUUGAACAUACAAGAGCUUUAACAUUAACCCCCGGAACCAUGAAUUUAGAAAUACAUAAAGACUUUUUAUAACGUCUUUAAAGCAAACGGUGAUAAUCGUGUAGAUGUGGCAGUGGUACGUCUAUCCUGUAGCCUGAUUAUAAAGAUGGGUGUCUCUCCGCGAUGAGGUCCAUGCCAGCUAAGAUUUUUGGAAGCCUUAGUGAU
Long non-coding RNA from Carassius auratus (goldfish), 2514 nucleotides. RefSeq lists it as uncharacterized. The record is from RefSeq and is a predicted model, not a curated record. NCBI's taxonomy places the organism in Eukaryota, Metazoa, Chordata, Actinopteri, Cypriniformes, Cyprinidae. The transcript has 3 exons.